This 592-nucleotide ribosomal RNA is filed under the name uncultured bacterium. RNAcentral's name for it is "partial 16S ribosomal RNA". It matches the Rfam family "Bacterial small subunit ribosomal RNA", at positions 355 to 1375 of the family's 1533-position model. The record is from RNAcentral.
UGGGGAAUUUUGGACAAUGGGCGAAAGCCUGAUCCAGCAAUGCCGCGUGUGUGAAGAAGGCCUUCGGGUUGUAAAGCACUUUUGUCCGGAAAGAAAUCCUUGGCUCUAAUACAGUCGGGGGAUGACGGUACCGGAAGAAUAAGCACCGGCUAACUACGUGCCAGCAGCCGCGGUAAUACGUAGGGUGCAAGCGUUAAUCGGAAUUACUGGGCGUAAAGCGUGCGCAGGCGGUUUGCUAAGACCGAUGUGAAAUCCCCGGGCUCAACCUGGGAACUGCAUUGGUGACUGGCAGGCUAGAGUAUGGCAGAGGGGGGUAGAAUUCCACGUGUAGCAGUGAAAUGCGUAGAGAUGUGGAGGAAUACCGAUGGCGAAAGGCAGCCCCCUGGGCCAAAUACUGACGCUCAUGCACGAAAGCGUGGGGAGCAAAACAGGAUUAGAUACCCUGGUAGUCCACGCCCUAAAACGAUGUCAACUAGUUGUUGGGGAUUCAUUUCCUUAGUAACGUAGCUAACGCGUGAAGUUGACCGCCUGGGGGAGUACGGUCGCAAAGAUUAAAAACUCAAAUGAAUUGACGGGGUCAUAGCUGUUUCCU